This 468-nucleotide ribosomal RNA is filed under the name uncultured bacterium. RNAcentral describes it as "partial 16S ribosomal RNA". It matches the Rfam family "Bacterial small subunit ribosomal RNA", at positions 28 to 507 of the family's 1533-position model. The record is from RNAcentral.
GACGAACGCUGGCGGCGUGCUUAACACAUGCAAGUCGAACGGAAAGGCCCUGCUUUUGUGGGGUGCUCGAGUGGCGAACGGGUGAGUAAAACGUGAGUAACCUGCCCUUGACUUUGGGAUAACUUCAGGAAACUGGGGCUAAUACCGGAUAGGAGCUCCUGCUGCAUGGUGGGGGUUGGAAAGUUUCGGCGGUUGGGGAUGGACUCGCGGCUUAUCAGCUUGUUGGUGGGGUAGUGGCUUACCAAGGCUUUGACGGGUAGCCGGCCUGAGAGGGUGACCGGCCACAUUGGGACUGAGAUACGGACCAGACUCCUACGGGAGGCAGCAGUGGGGAAUAUUGCACAAUGGGCGGAAGCCUGAUGCAGCAACGCCGCGUGCGGGAUGACGGCCUUCGGGUUGUAAACCGCUUUCGCCUGUGACGAAGCAUGAGUGACGGUAAUGGGUAAAGAAGCACCGGCUAACUACGUG